This 1092-nucleotide long non-coding RNA is filed under the name Taeniopygia guttata (zebra finch). RNAcentral's name for it is "lncRNA (ENSTGUG00000022918.1)". Lineage: Eukaryota; Metazoa; Chordata; Aves; Passeriformes; Estrildidae. The record is from RNAcentral.
GUGGGAAUUGAGAAUUUUGGGGCGGGAGUUCAUGAUUUUGGGGAAAAAAAUUCGAAUUUUAGGGUAAAAUUGAGAAUUUUGGGGCGGGAAUUGAGGAUUUUGAGGCAGAAUUGAGACUUUUGGGGUGGGAGUUCAGGAAUUUUGGGGAGAAAUUGGGUAUUUUGGGGCACAAUUGAGAAUUUUAGGGUAAAAUUGAGAAUUUUGGGGUGGGAGUUCAGGAUUUUGGGGAAAAUUGAGAAUUUUAGGGUAAAACUGAGAAUUUUGGGGCAGGAAUUGAGGAUUUUGGGGUAAAACUGAGAAUUUUGGGGCAGGAAUUGAGGAUUUUGAGUGGAAAUUGAGAAUUUUGGAGAGAAAUUUCAAAUUUUAUGGCGGAAAAUUCGAAUUUUCGUGUGGGAAUUCCCGAUUUGAGAGGCUCAAGUGUCGAAUUUAUGGCCCAAAAAUGACCCGAAAAAACCCCGAAAUUGGGUAAAUUGGGGCCGGGCUGGAAUUGGGGUGAAACCCCCCGAUUUUGGGUCCCCCAGCCCCAUUUUUCCUGCCAGGCCCGGCCGUGCCAUGGAGGAGGAGGAGGAGAAACCCCCCCGGGGGGGGGAGGAGCCGCGAGAGCAGCGGGAGGGACCCGGCCAGGGGCUACUGAAAGCUCUGCAGCGCCUCCUGAGCGGCGCCGGCACCUGGGGACAAGACCCCCCCCACAAGCCCCCCCGGCUGCAGCGCUGGUGCUGGGGAGCCCGGCCCGAGGGCGGCACGGUUUGGGAGCCCGUGGGGGGCCCGGGGGGGGCCCUGGAGCAGCUGCAGCUCAGCAGCGGGGAGGGGUCCCCCGAAGACGAGGAGCUGGAGUUGGUGGCCGAGGUCCGCGUGGCCGAUUUGGGGGGGCUGGCGGCCGCCUCGGGGCUCCUGCGCCGGGAGCGGCCCUGGAGAGCCCCCAAAGGAGGUCAGGGGGUCGGGGGGGGGAUUUGGGGGGAUUUGGGGGGAUUUGGGGGCAUUUUGGGGGGUUUUGGGAGGAUUUUGGGUGCAUUUCCGGGGGUUUUCAGGAGGGUUUGGGUGGAUUUGGGGGUGUUUGGGAUGGAUUUUGGGGGGGUUUGGGAUGGAUUUUGG